RNAcentral lists this unclassified non-coding RNA (336 nucleotides) under soil metagenome. Its description in RNAcentral is "partial contains 5.8S ribosomal RNA, internal transcribed spacer 2, and large subunit ribosomal RNA". The stretch from base 1 to 120 matches the Rfam family "5.8S ribosomal RNA", at positions 35 to 154 of the family's 154-position model. The record is from RNAcentral.
GAUGAAGAACGUAGCGAAAUGCGAUAAGUAAUGUGAAUUGCAGAAUUCAGUGAAUCAUCGAAUCUUUGAACGCACAUUGCGCCCGCCAGUAUUCUGGCGGGCAUGCCUGUUCGAGCGCCAUUUCAACCAUCAAGCCCCAGGCUUGUGUUGGGGACCUGCGGCUGCCGCAGGCCCUGAAAACCAGUGGCGGGCUCGCUGUCACACCGGGCGUAGUAGAUUUUAUCUCGCUCAGGGCGUGCUGCGGGUUCCGGCCGUUAAAAAGCCUUUUUUACCCAAGGUUGACCUCGGAUCAGGUAGGAAUACCCGCUGAACUUAAGCAUAUCAAUAAGCGGAGGA